RNAcentral lists this ribosomal RNA (244 nucleotides) under uncultured Pseudomonas sp. RNAcentral describes it as "partial 16S ribosomal RNA". It matches the Rfam family "Bacterial small subunit ribosomal RNA", at positions 1138 to 1382 of the family's 1533-position model. The record is from RNAcentral. Lineage: Bacteria; Pseudomonadati; Pseudomonadota; Gammaproteobacteria; Pseudomonadales; Pseudomonadaceae.
CUCUAAGGAGACUGCCGGUGACAAACCGGAGGAAGUGGGGAUGACGUCAAGUCAUCAUGGCCCUUACGGCCUGGGCUACACACGUGCUACAAUGGUCGGUACAAAGGGUUGCCAAGCCGCGAGGUGGAGCUAAUCCCAUAAAACCGAUCGUAGUCCGGAUCGCAGUCUGCAACUCGACUGCGUGAAGUCGGAAUCGCUAGUAAUCGUGAAUCAGAAUGUCACGGUGAAUACGUUCCCGGGCCUU